GAGCCAGACUCUGUGCCGGGCGGGGGCCGGGAAGUGGUGGGAGAAGUCGCCGCCCGCGUCUGUCCAAACUUAGUCCCAAACUCAGGAGGUUCCUGUCCCAAGAAGCAAUGUAAAGUUUGAAACGAGCCGAGCGCGGUGGCUCACGCCUGUAAUCCCAGCACUUUGGGAGGCCGAGGCUGGCGAAUCAUUUGAGACACAGGGUCUCACUGUGUUGGCCAGGCUGGAGUGCGGCAGUCUGGAACUCCUGGGCCCAAGUGAUCCUCCAAUCAGCCUCACAAAGCACUGGAAUUACAGAUGGAGUUUUGCUCUUGUUGCCCAGGCUGGAGUACAAUGGCGCAAUCUCGGCUCACUGCAACCUCCGCCUCCGGGUUCAAGUGAUUCUCCUGCCUCAGCCUCCUGAGUAGCUGGGAUUACAGGAGCCUACUACCACGGCCAGCUAAUUUUUUUGUAUUUUUAGUAGAGACGGGGCUUUACCAUGUUGGCCAGGCUGGUUUCAAACUCCUGACCUCAGGUGAUCCACCCGCCUCGGCCUCCCAAACUGCUGGGAUUAUAGGCAUGAGCCACCGUGCCCGGCCCAUAGAUUACUUUUAUAAUCAAGUUUUUCUUUACUUUUUAAAGAGUAAAUUCUCUCACCUCAGGUAGCUCAGAGAGCUGCGCUGGAGGAGAAAAGCCAGUCCUGGCAGGAGCUCUGGUACCUGGGAAGCUGGAUGGAGAGCCUGGGCCAGAAUCCCGGACCCCUCACCUCUGCGGCCUAGCUUUGUGACCUUGGCAAAUCCAUUCUAUGCACCUCCAUUUCCUGUACAGUGGGGAUCCUUAUUUCUCUGGCACAGAUUGGUAUUUGUUCUGUAAAGCCCAGUACCACUU
RNAcentral lists this long non-coding RNA (864 nucleotides) under Homo sapiens (human). Its description in RNAcentral is "HSALNT0290012". Lineage: Eukaryota; Metazoa; Chordata; Mammalia; Primates; Hominidae. The record is from RNAcentral.